AAUCCCAACACAGAAAACUUUCAGGGAGACACAUUAUCAACAAGUCACUUAAAAACAACUGAUUAGGGAUAGAUUAAAAUUGUCAUGAUCUGGCAGAGGAAGGAGUUAUUUGUGUUCUCUUUCUUUAUGAAGUGGCUGAAUAGGAAAAA
This is a small nucleolar RNA of Lutra lutra (Eurasian river otter), 149 nucleotides long. RefSeq annotates it as small nucleolar RNA SNORA29. Lineage: Eukaryota; Metazoa; Chordata; Mammalia; Carnivora; Mustelidae. The transcript has a single exon. The record is from RefSeq and is a predicted model, not a curated record.